RNAcentral lists this ribosomal RNA (253 nucleotides) under uncultured bacterium. RNAcentral's name for it is "partial 16S ribosomal RNA". It matches the Rfam family "Bacterial small subunit ribosomal RNA", at positions 524 to 776 of the family's 1533-position model. The record is from RNAcentral.
UACGUAGGCAGCAAGCGUUGUUCGGAGUUACUGGGCGUAAAGAGUGCGUAGGUGGUGCCCUAAGUCUGUUGUGAAAUCUCCCGGCUUAACUGGGAGGGUGCGGUGGAAACUGGGGUGCUUGAGUGUGGGAGAGGUAAGCGGAAUUCCUGGUGUAGCGGUGAAAUGCGUAGAUAUCAAGAGGAACACCAGUGGCGAAGGCGAGUCCCUGGACAACACCUGACACUGAGGCACGAAAGCUAGGGGAGCAAACAGG